UGAAGACGACGAGGUAGAUAGGUUGGGGGUGGAAGUGCAGUAAUGCAUGGAGCUGACCAAUACUAAUCGGUCGAGGGCUUAUCCUA
RNAcentral lists this ribosomal RNA (86 nucleotides) under Paenibacillus polymyxa. RNAcentral describes it as "partial 23S ribosomal RNA". It matches the Rfam family "Bacterial large subunit ribosomal RNA", at positions 2839 to 2925 of the family's 2925-position model. RNAcentral also lists the same sequence under 5 other names. Lineage: Bacteria; Bacillati; Bacillota; Bacilli; Caryophanales; Paenibacillaceae. The record is from RNAcentral.